CCAGAAGAAGAAGAAGAAGAAGAAGAAGCUACUUUGCAAAGAAAAAAGGAGAAGGGCCAAAGAUUAGACGGAAGAAGACGGAGAUGGACAACUGUAUUGAAGUUGGCUGUUAAAGUGGCUGAACGGUGACGGCAGAAGACAACUUGGAAUCUCGAACAGAGGUGGUCCUGUAUAGUGCACCUGUCCUCUGUGAUGGGAGCAGGUCGAGAGGCGAGCUGCCUGAAUCUGACCGGACCGAGACCCCAAGACCAAGAGAGAGAUUUACUGAUACUGUAGCAGAACCACAAGGUCCAAAAGACUGAAACCAUCCGGCGCCCAGUGAAGGAAGGAAGAAGAAGAAAAACCUGAAGAAGAUGGAGGUACAGUAACGUCAAUGUGAUGAAGUGAAUUAAAUGAAUAGUUUAAUGAUCGUUGUUGGAGCAGAGUGUUAUCUUACUAGCUUACUUCAGAUAGAAGAUAUCAUUUAACAAUCAAUAAAUAGCUGAGUCGACAUGUGUUAAUGUUACUCCACCUUAAAUUCAUCAAGGACGUUUGGAAAGUUAACAUUAGGCCUGUUCAGGUGUUAUUUUA
This 570-nucleotide long non-coding RNA is filed under the name Sparus aurata (gilthead seabream). RNAcentral's name for it is "lncRNA (ENSSAUG00010005405.1)". Lineage: Eukaryota; Metazoa; Chordata; Actinopteri; Spariformes; Sparidae. The record is from RNAcentral.